UUUACUUUGAUUAGAAAAACUUUCAUUUGACUUUUGAAGGAAGAGAAUGCAGCGUGAAGAGAUUGAUGGCAACUGUCAUUUCGCAAGGUUUCUUUACUUCACAAUUGCAUUUAGAUAGUUGAUUUGAUUGGGCAUUGAAAUUUCUUUUUUAUCACUGCACGGUGCUUCAAAGGGGCUGGAACGUUUCAGCCUUGUUUCCGUGAUUGAAGU
Molecule: long non-coding RNA, 210 nt
Filed under: Vigna radiata
Lineage: Eukaryota; Viridiplantae; Streptophyta; Magnoliopsida; Fabales; Fabaceae
Description: long non-coding RNA (VRAD_LNC012799)
Source: RNAcentral